This 406-nucleotide ribosomal RNA is filed under the name Stygamoeba regulata. RNAcentral describes it as "partial Bacterial large subunit ribosomal RNA". It matches the Rfam family "Bacterial large subunit ribosomal RNA", at positions 2069 to 2473 of the family's 2925-position model. The record is from RNAcentral. Lineage: Eukaryota; Discosea; Stygamoebida.
CCCGCGGUUAGACGGAAAGACCCCGUGCACCUUUACUGCAGCUUCAGAGUGGCAUUGGAAAAUUAUUGUGUAGCAUAGGUGGGAGGCUUUGAAGCACCGGCGCCAGCUGGUGUGGAGCCAUAGGUGAAAUACCACCCUGUGAUUUUUUAAUGUCUAACCUCGUACCGUUAGCCGGUACAGGGACCCUCUGUGGCGGGUAGUUUGACUGGGGCGGUCGCCUCCUAAAGAGUAACGGAGGCGCGCGAUGGUAGGCUCAGGCCGGUUGGAAACCGGCUGCAAGAGUGCAAUGGCAUAAGCCUGCCUGACUGCGAGACUGACAAGUCGAGCAGAGACGAAAGUCGGUCAUAGUGAUCCGGUGGUCCCGCGUGGAAGGGCCAUCGCUCAACGGAUAAAAGGUACGCCGGGG